GGGUUGUGAGGUUAAGCGACUAAGCGUACACGGUGGAUGCCCUGGCAGUCAGAGGCGAUGAAGGACGUGCUAAUCUGCGAUAAGCGUCGGUAAGGUGAUAUGAACCGUUAUAACCGGCGAUUUCCGAAUGGGGAAACCCAGUGUGAUUCGUCACACUAUCAUUAACUGAAUCCAUAGGUUAAUGAGGCGAACCGGGGGAACUGAAACAUCUAAGUACCCCGAGGAAAAGAAAUCAACCGAGAUUCCCCCAGUAGCGGCGAGCGAACGGGGAGCAGCCCAGAGCCUGAAUCAGUGUGUGUGUUAGUGGAAGCGUCUGGAAAGGCGCGCGAUACAGGGUGACAGCCCCGUACACAAAAAUGCACAUGCUGUGAGCUCGAUGAGUAGGGCGGGACACGUGGUAUCCUGUCUGAAUAUGGGGGGACCAUCCUCCAAGGCUAAAUACUCCUGACUGACCGAUAGUGAACCAGUACCGUGAGGGAAAGGCGAAAAGAACCCCGGCGAGGGGAGUGAAAAAGAACCUGAAACCGUGUACGUACAAGCAGUGGGAGCACGCUUAGGCGUGUGACUGCGUACCUUUUGUAUAAUGGGUCAGCGACUUAUAUUCUGUAGCAAGGUUAACCGAAUAGGGGAGCCGAAGGGAAACCGAGUCUUAACUGGGCGUUAAGUUGCAGGGUAUAGACCCGAAACCCGGUGAUCUAGCCAUGGGCAGGUUGAAGGUUGGGUAACACUAACUGGAGGACCGAACCGACUAAUGUUGAAAAAUUAGCGGAUGACUUGUGGCUGGGGGUGAAAGGCCAA
This 798-nucleotide ribosomal RNA is filed under the name Escherichia coli. Its description in RNAcentral is "partial 23S ribosomal RNA". It matches the Rfam family "Bacterial large subunit ribosomal RNA", at positions 1 to 832 of the family's 2925-position model. The record is from RNAcentral. Lineage: Bacteria; Pseudomonadati; Pseudomonadota; Gammaproteobacteria; Enterobacterales; Enterobacteriaceae.